UACGUAGGGUGCAGGCGUUAAUCGGAAUUACUGGGCGUAAAGAGUGUGUAGGCGGUGCUCCAAGUCUGUUGUGAAAUCUCCCGGCUUAACUGGGAGGGUGCGGCGGAAACUAGAGUGCUAGAGGGUGGGAGAGGUAAGCGGAAUUCCUGGUGUAGCGGUGAAAUGCGUAGAUAUCAGGAGGAACACCUGUGGUGUAGACAGCUUACUGGACCACUUCUGACGCUGAGACACGAAAGCGUGGGUAGCAAACAGG
RNAcentral lists this ribosomal RNA (253 nucleotides) under uncultured prokaryote. RNAcentral describes it as "partial 16S ribosomal RNA". It matches the Rfam family "Bacterial small subunit ribosomal RNA", at positions 524 to 776 of the family's 1533-position model. The record is from RNAcentral.